GAUGAAGAACGCAGCGAAAUGCGAUAAGUAGUGUGAAUUGCAGAAUUCAGUGAAUCAUCGAAUCUUUGAACGCACAUUGCGGCCCUUGGUAUUCCAUGGGGCAUGCCUGUUCGAGCGUCAUUUGUACCUUCAAGCUCUGCUUGGUGUUGGGUGUUUGUCUCGCCUCUGCGUGUAGACUCGCCUCAAAACAAUUGGCAGCCGGCGUAUUGAUUUCGGAGCGCAGUACAUCUCGCGCUUUGCACUCAUAACGACGACGUCCAAAAGUACAUUUUUACACUCUUGACCUCGGAUCAGGUAGGGAUACCCGCUGAACUUAAGCAUAUCAAUAAGCGGAGGA
This 337-nucleotide unclassified non-coding RNA is filed under the name soil metagenome. RNAcentral's name for it is "partial contains 5.8S ribosomal RNA, internal transcribed spacer 2, and large subunit ribosomal RNA". The stretch from base 1 to 120 matches the Rfam family "5.8S ribosomal RNA", at positions 35 to 154 of the family's 154-position model. The record is from RNAcentral.